CAGAUGAGACGCAGGACUGGCAGCAGGAAUCCAGGGGGAGAUUCUAAGGAGGGAGACAGAGUGAAUAUGAGGCGUAAACAAAUGGAAACGUUAUCUGAAAGCCUGGUCUUACUGUUUCUUGGUAGUGGUAAUUGUACAGGAAGGUUGUUAGGUCCAGGUGAGCUGAGGAGAUCCACAGGUAAAGGGAUUGUUUUGUCCAGAGGUGUAGGAGCAGGAAUGGACGUUGGUAGGUGAGCGGCUGAGAGCGGGCGGCCAGGGGAUGAAGCAGUGUGUCAGGCAGGCUGAGAUCCGGGUUUGUUCUGGAGGAGGUGAGAGAUUGUGAGGAACAUGGAGGAGAGCAGGAGAGGGCAUCAAGGGUUUUUCAGACGACAGGUUAACCAGAGCAAAAAUACGAAUGUCUAAGUCGGGUCGGAGGCUAGAGCUACCUAAAAGAGUAAUCAUCCGGCGUGGUGAAGUUUCACACUGCUCCUUAACCUGGGCCUUGAUGGUGAGAUCAGCUGCAGCUGGGAGCUCUCAGACACGCCCACCUGUGAAAACAAUACAGAGAUCAGGGUUACAGGCUGGCAGCUCACCACGGACCAUGACACAUUUAUAAUUUCCUUAUUAAUUUUCCCUCGUCCUGCUCCGGAGCAUCGCUACAAGCAUAUAAAAGCCUGGAGGGAUACAAAUGGACACAAUCAGGGUUUGUUGUUGGUAUCCAGAUCUGGAUUCUUCCUGCAAAGGACAGCGCUGUUGUCACUGGGAGGCCCCUCAUAAAUCUGUGUGACAGACAGGCGAGAGAUGUCAGCGCAGAGGAGCCAGAAGAAAUAGCAGAAAAACUUUUAGAAAACAUGACUGUGACCAAGGAACAGAGUGAUAUUGUGGAAGAGGAGACUCGAGCACAGUCAAAGUCCAACAUUUGGUUUCACCAAAGAAGUGGUAGAAUAACAGCGUCCACCUUCAAAGCAGCCACAAAGACAGACAUCACAAAGCCCUCCGUGUCCCUGAUUAAAAAAAUAUGCUACCCUAAGUCUCAUAGCUUCACCAGUGAGGCUACCACGUAUCAAGUGAAAUAACUUGGUUUUGUGUGCUACUUGAACUAUUUAUCAUCAUUUUAUAGAGAUUUGAUUCACAAAAGUAUCUAAAAGGAUUUUGUUGUUUUACAGAUGGUAACCAUGAGGAGCUGGCAAGAAAUUAUUAUGAAAUUCAGCAUCGCCUUGCCCAUUCCGAUGUCCUAGUAGAAACAGCUGGUUUCAGGAUCUCGCCCACACAUCCAUUCAUCAGAGCCUCACCUGAUGGUUAUGUUUCUUGCAGUUGUUGUGGUCCAGGUCUUAUAGAAAUAAAGUGCACAUUCUGUGCAAAGGCACUUUCUGUGGAUGAGGGAGCAGAUCCAGCAAACUUUUGCCUUGAAAAAAAUGAACAGGGAACCAUCAGACUAAAGCCGGAUCACGCAUACUAUUAUCAAGUACAAAUGCAGAUAUUUGUUUCUGACAGACAAUAUUGUGAUUUCGUCCUCUGGACUGAAAGAGACUGUGAUUCACCAUUUGUUGAAUGUGUGACAGCAAAUGUGUCAUUUUUUGACAAACAGCUUGAAUGUGCAAAAGCUUUUUACAAAAAAUGUAUUCUCCCAGAGCUGCUUGCAAAGACUUUUUCAGCACCAAAGCCAGCAGCAGCAUGUGCUGAUAAUGGUCAACAGUGGUGUUACUGUCGCGAGCCAGAGGACGGCGACAUGUUGGUGUGCACCUCAAGUUUUAGUUCUUUAAAAAAAAGUUUCAUAAAACUUGUCUGCACUUGAAAAGGAAUCCUAAACAAUGGAAAUGUCCAAGCUGUAGAAAAGUUAUCAACUCACAAAAAAAGAAAUCUCUGACAAGCGGAAGAGUAAUAAACAAAUGUGGGUUGCCCUUAUUUGUAGCCCGUAAUAGCAUACUGGCACAGCUUCAAGACUAACACAUCAGUCUGUUAAUAAGAAGUAUGUCACAUACAACAAGAGGCUGAUGAAAGUAAGAUUCAUUUUUUUAUUCAUGUUUGUAUUUAACAUGCCAACAAAAAUGUUACAAUUUUCUGAAGACUAAGAAUUGUACCUUUUUGGUCUGUUGUAGUAAAUAAAAAUGAAAGUUCA
Molecule: non-coding RNA, 2098 nt
Organism: Nothobranchius furzeri (turquoise killifish)
Lineage: Eukaryota; Metazoa; Chordata; Actinopteri; Cyprinodontiformes; Nothobranchiidae
Source: RefSeq, a predicted model, not a curated record